This 497-nucleotide ribosomal RNA is filed under the name uncultured bacterium. RNAcentral describes it as "partial 16S ribosomal RNA". It matches the Rfam family "Bacterial small subunit ribosomal RNA", at positions 28 to 507 of the family's 1533-position model. The record is from RNAcentral.
GAUGAACGCUGGCGGCGUGCCUAAUACAUGCAAGUCGAGCGAACAGACGAGGAGCUUGCUCCUCUGACAUUAGCGGCGGACGGGUGAGUAACACGUGGAUAACCUACCUAUAGGACUGGGAUAACUUCGGGAAACCGGAGCUAAUACCGGAUAAUAUAUUGAACCGCAUGGUUCAAUAGUGAAAGACGGUUUUGCUGUCACUUAUAGAUGGAUCCGCGCCGCAUUAGCUAGUUGGUAAGGUAACGGCUUACCAAGGCAACGAUGCGUAGCCGACCUGAGAGGGUGAUCGGCCACACUGGAACUGAGACACGGUCCAGACUCCUACGGGAGGCAGCAGUAGGGAAUCUUCCGCAAUGGGCGAAAGCCUGACGGAGCAACGCCGCGUGAGUGAUGAAGGUCUUCGGAUCGUAAAACUCUGUUAUUAGGGAAGAACAAAUGUGUAAGUAACUAUGCACGUCUUGACGGUACCUAAUCAGAAAGCCACGGCUAACUACGUG